This is a small nuclear RNA of Mustela putorius furo (domestic ferret), 106 nucleotides long. The record is from Ensembl. NCBI's taxonomy places the organism in Eukaryota, Metazoa, Chordata, Mammalia, Carnivora, Mustelidae.
GUUCUCACUUUGGCAGCACAUUUACUAAAACUGGACAAUAUGGAAAAGAUUACCAUGGCCCCUAUGAAAGAAUUUCACGCAAAUUCGUGAGGAAUUCCAUAUUUUU